UUUCUGUCAUGUACAUUAAACAUACCCAAGGUUUGAAAUGAUGAAGUCACCAUGUGUACAAAAAAAUCCCUGUAAUCCCUUCUGAGCACUCAGUUUCUGAGCGUUUUACUACUUUUGGGCACAGAAGCCCCGCCCAACUGAUGUUCAAGACUUUGGCUUAUGAGGGGCAGCCAAUCAGAAGAGCGUGGAGGAGAGGAGUUAAAGGGGCUGCGCCAAGCAGCAGUACAAGAUUAAUAAGGGUUAUUCUAACCUGUGAAUCAGGCAAAGCUACUCUGCAAAAGUCUAAGCGAAAUAGGUCCCCUUUAAGGAUCUGAGAAGAGUCUGUCAGUAAAGAAAAAAACUGCAAUCAUGCAAAGAUGGAAAAAAAAAACCACGUGUUUCACAGACAGGCAUUUUACAUCUCUGAAAAAAUAAAAUAUCCACCACUUUCAUCUGUUCCACAGUUAAAUAUUAAUAAGUUUUUAAUACUGAUAACACCACUGGACUCAUGUUGUAAACCUUUGACAUCGUGUCAAACGUCGUCGUGCUGCAUACAAAACUUUGGAUCAAAGCGCAUUUUUUUAUUGAUAAAUCAGCUACUACACGGGUGUGACCCCCUCCCACUCAAUAUGAGUUUACGUACACUGGGAGAUUCUCGUUCCAGACUUGGAAAACAAACGUAUUGCUUUUUAAAUGUAUAAACGGCGAAAAGGAGCUACAGACGAAACUGUGGGCAGCUAGCUAUGAAAUAAAGAUAUAGAUCGGACUUUACAGCUAAAAGAUGACUGGAUGAACUCGUCAGAGGAUUUGCUCAUACAGCAUACGGCGUUUUCUGCUCAUAAAACAUUACAUUUGCUCGAGGGUUUGGGUGUCAAAGACGUCUUUUUUUUUUUUUUUUAACUUGGCACUGCGACAGGAGGAUACGACCCCCCCGCUAUCAAACUUGGCAAUGAGACAGACUUUUCACUUUUUCGUCUUUGAUUUUCUUGGCACUGAAUCAGAAAAAUGUCUUUCUUACUUUCUUUCUUCAGGAAGAGGAAAAAAACAGGAAGGAGAAGAAAAGAGGAGGAGCUUGAGGGAGUCAAAGCUACAGAGUUAAACACAAAGAGAAGAUGGAUAAAAGAGUGUACACAAAAAAAGAUGAGAGACGACACAAAGGGCUCCACUGUUGCUCCCUUCAUCACCGCCUUCAUCAGCUUCCUCUCGCUCAGAGGGGAAGCCACCGAGUGUGUUUACGUGCACUGUAGUUAUUAAGGCAAUACUGCGACUCCUGAAACUGUCGCAUGAAAUCCAAUUAUUUGAGUUCUUCGUGAUCUGAGCAACAGUACAUGCAGACCAAGCUUCCCUCCUUUGAAACCAGACAUGUCUAUUUAUGGAUUUCUUUUACCUGAGCAAACGUCUUGGCUCAG
Long non-coding RNA from Astatotilapia calliptera (eastern happy), 1388 nucleotides. Lineage: Eukaryota; Metazoa; Chordata; Actinopteri; Cichliformes; Cichlidae. The record is from Ensembl.